This 452-nucleotide long non-coding RNA is filed under the name Homo sapiens (human). RNAcentral's name for it is "HSALNT0041990". Lineage: Eukaryota; Metazoa; Chordata; Mammalia; Primates; Hominidae. The record is from RNAcentral.
CUCCCAGCUGCAAAAGCAACUAUGGCUUUCUUUGUUCCCCCACCUGUGGAGUCAGCACACCAGAUAGAUUGACGCGCUGCCCCAAGUUCUGGCCAGGAGACUUCUCCCUCAGUUCAAAUUGUUACAAAAUUCAGCUGGAGAUUUCCUUCUCCCUGUGGCCUUUUCCCAGCACCUUUGGCCAUCCUCCCAAAGCGCCUCUGUGAGGCCAGGCAAAAACAGCUUGCCAGGGGACCCAGCGAGCUCCCACGGCUUUUCCCACUGCUUCCUCUACCCCUGUAUUUCACUGGCUUUCUAAAUUUACUCAGCUCCAGAUUCAAUGACUUCUGUUUGGGAGGAGUGAAAAAACAAAUCAGAAAUUGAGAAAAUCAUUGAGAAGUGAAUAACGAAGCAGGCUGCAAAUGUUCUCAGAGUCCAAUAUCCUUCAUUGUUGGGAACAGCAGAAGAAUAUAAAC